Molecule: long non-coding RNA, 3618 nt
Organism: Mesocricetus auratus (golden hamster)
Lineage: Eukaryota; Metazoa; Chordata; Mammalia; Rodentia; Cricetidae
Exons: 4
Source: RefSeq, a predicted model, not a curated record
UUUGUAUCAGAUGGUGUCAGAAGACACUAAAGUAAAUUCCCCGUUGCUUUGUUCGCUCAGUUGGUCUGUUUGCCUAUGCUGGAACAUAGUCAAAAGAAUGAUGUAUGGUGAACAAUGGAGAACUUGGAGAACUAUGACACAUACAUGUUCCAGGAAAAGAAGGCCUUUUCCCUCAGAUACCUUUUAUUCCCUGUAUUGUUCUUAGAUGUGAUUGUUGUGCCUCCCUGUGACAAAUAUUUACAUUCAAUUUAUAAAACAUGUCCAUUCUUGUUGAUUGUCAGAACAUAGCCACAGAACCCAAUCUGGUCCUAGUGCCCUGAGUCUGAAUAGGGCCUUCUGCCUUGCUUUAGUGCUUCCCCAGAAAUAAUUUCUAGUCAGGCGAUUGGUCUGUCUUAAGAAAGUUGUGAGAAAGGGCUGCUCUGUUAAUAUUUAGUAGGUGCUUACUGGUGUUCAUUAACAUGUUUUUUCUGAUCAUGGUUUUCUGAACUCUAACAGCCUUCCUUGGAUCACUGCUUUCUUUGAUAUAUUCAUGUAUGAAAGUGCACUGAAACUGAGCCAUCCUGUUUGUCCACCUCCUUCUCCACAGACUGGAUAUUGGACUCCUGACUCCUCUUCCUCAGGAAUCUCAAACAGUAUCCAAAGCUGUCCAAGAACCUCCGAUUGUCCUAUCCUCUUUGGAUCCAAGAAUUCAAUUUACCUCCUAAGCCAGAACACCUGCAGGUCCAGACGGCCUGCCAAGAUGGAACUGUACACCAAGUUCCUGUUACAACAGCAAAGUCAAACACAGCAAGCAAAGGAAGAAUGAUUCCUAAAGAUGUUCAAGUCACUCACAACAAGGAGCAGAAGCUGAGGGACAAAAAACUACCAGAAAACAAAAUACAAAGUAAAUGGGAAAUAUGGCAUAGUAAUAGUUACCUUGGAAGAUGAGGUGGCAUGUACUUACAGUCCCAGUAGCUGGGAGUCUGAGACAAGAAGAUUGCCACAAGUGUGAAGCCAAUCUCAACUACAUAGUGAGUUUUAAGCCAACCUGUGGUACACUGUGAGAUCCUUUCUCAAACAAACAUAAAAUAAAUGGUCUGAAACUGGGUGGUGCUGGUGCAUGUCUUUAAUCCAUCAGAGGCAGGUGGAUCUCUGAGUCCAAGGCCAGCCUGACCUACAGAGUAAGUUCCAGGACAUGCAGGGAUACACAGAGAAACCCUGUCUCAAAAACAAAACAAAAAGGUCUGACUACAUCAAUCAAAAGACAGAAUUUGGAGGAGGUGAUUUAAAGACAAUUUGAUAGGCUGUGGCCAUUACAGCCUGAACUAGCAAGAUCUCAUCUAAAGGUGACCUCUCCAUGUUCUAUUUGCAAAAAUUCAAGAACAGCACAGGAAGUCUGGAAACUGGAAAAGAAACUCUACACACAUCAACCGCAAAGAACAAGAGUUGCCUUGCCUUUGUCUACUCACCAGCUAUUGGGCUCACCCUGAGGCUACUAAUGGUUGUUUUGGUUUGUUUUUUAAACUCUGUGUGUUCUCUAUAAUGACUGUACUAACUGGUAUUCUCACCAUCAAUAUGAAAGAGCCCUCCUCCCUGUGUCUGCAAGCGCCCAACGUGUAUUACUUUUAUGUGUCUUGAUAAGAGUCCUGUUAACUAGAGGUAACAUUCCAUGGAGUUUCUAAUUCGUAUUUCCCUCUUGUUUGGUGGGGAUUGUGAUUAGGGACUCUCCCACCGUUUUAAUCAUUUGCAUAUCCUGUUUUUGAUAUGCCAAACCUUUUGUUCUUAGCUGGAUGCUCUGGUUUUCUCCACUGAGCAGCUUGGGGGACUCUCUUAUCCCCAACUUCAGGCCCGCCAUGGAUAAGUUACCUGCCAAUGCUUUCUCCCAUUCUGCAGACUGUCACUUUGCAGUUGUCCCCUUUCCUGUACAGAAGCUUCAUAGUUUGAUUUAAUCCUGGUUGUCAAUUUUUACUUCUGUUGCCUAGCAUUUGGGGUCAUGGUCCCAAAAUUUUUUGCUCUGGCCUGCAUCUUAUUUUCCUUGGGCAAGUCUAGUCAUUCUGCCUUUGAAGAUCUUGUACUUCAAUCUUGACCCAGUAUGAUGACAUAUGGGUGUUCUGCACAAGUACUGAAGGUCAUGCUCUGAAGCAGAAUAAGAAAGAGAAGGCCAAUUAUUAGAUAGUGGCUCGCUGAUUUACUUAAAGCACUGCUUGUAUUGCCCAUUUGGCAAUCAUACUUUCAUUUGCUUCCUGGAACAAAAUGACUUGAAAAAGAAGGCCAAACAGUGGGUUGGUGUGAAAGGUUCAGGCAUUACACCGGCCUGCCUGGUGGGUCUGAGCAGGUCUCUUGGGUUUUAGACCCUGGUACUGACUGUUCAUUCGUUUCUUAGACCUACGUGGUCACACAUCUUUCUGCCUCACUCGUGGAGAAAAAAGGCCACUUCUGCUAGCAGACGGAAAUGUGCCUAUCUUGGCUAUCUUAACCAUGUGCCUACCUUGAAAACAUGUUUACAGUGACCUACCUGUAGGCACACUCACUAAGUCUAGUCAGCUUCUGCUGGCCAAGCCUGCUCUCAGAUACAAUUCAUUUACUUUUUGUCUCUUUUAUGCUUUUUAUUUUUGCCUCUAAUUUCUUCCUUUACUGGCCCUGUUGCGUAUGGCUUGUUUAUGGAAUACUGUGCCUUUCCAGGGUCCCCUGUUCUAUCUGCAGCAAAUCUUCCUUCUCAUCACUGACUAUCUCUUUAAAUCUGUCUGUUUGCUACAAGUGUGGAUCAAAAAAUUACACUCUGGUUCUUCCUUCUUACUUUUAUCCAGUCCUUUUUAAUGUAUCUAUAUGUGCGUGUAUAUGUAGCCACUAUUAAGGAAUGUAAGGUAACUUUAUAUACAAUUUAAAUUCAACUAUACUAAAUAUCAAAUACUUCUAAAUUGUUAUAUUUUUAAAUGAUGGUAAACAUUUAAAGUUAUAAAGGUCUACUUCAAAAUAACAAAAUAUUUAUAGCACCCAGCCCUUCCUGUAAACUGUUUACAAAGAUAAGACAAUUACAAAAGAUUUUUCUCUAGUCACUUACGUGCUUAAGGUAAGUCACUAAAGAUAAAUUUUAUCUGCUAAGUAUACUAAACAGACAAACAGCCCUCAAAUGCUCAGAGAUCUAGAGAACAUGGCAUUUAAAUGUUUUAUUAAAAAGCUUUUCAUAACAGACAGGCCAGCUGCUGGCACCACCCCCCCCAUUCCCUCCAAGAAGACUGGUGGGCACUGAAGAAACUCCACCCACAAAGUGACAAUGCUGGCCACUAAGUAACCUUGCCUUCACCUCAACUGCUUCAAAGGACUCUUCACUGGACAAGAGGACACUGGAAUCGACUUUUCUCCACGUUCCUCGGGUCAACAGUAGGAAAGCCUUCCUAAAAAGUCCCCAACCCAUGGGUCUCAUGCUAUCAGCAGAAGGCAGGUGUCCUUGGAGCCUCUGACUUCAACAAUUGUGGAGGACUUUGGGUGUGGUUGUCCACGCAGUCAGCUAGUAAGUCUCUCAUUCUCUAGUCUCAGGUAAAAUCUUAUCCUUCUCAAGAGCUCUGAUGCUUUUGAUGAUUGGUAGCUUUGCCAGCUUAAAGUAACAGACAAGGCAAAGCUGUCAUAAAACAGAUUUCA